CUCGUGGCAAUAAUCCGAAAUGUACCCGCAAGGUGUUGUCAAAUCUGUGCGAUGACAAAUUGGCAGAGCAUUACAACUGGAUUGGAUCACGAGGAGAAAAAUAUGCUUUUCGUGAGAGUUGGAUGAACGAGAUUGUACUCGAUGCUGUUCGCCGUAGUUGUACAUCAAAUUCAGUCACGGAUACGGAAAUUGAAGAAAUAACAAAGACGUGGUUGAAAAAUGCACCGAAAAGAAUUAAAAAGUCUUCCAAGAAGAUUGCUCGUGCUCACAAUGGAGGGGAAGGUAAUCAAAACGGUAAUCUGCAGGAUGACCAGAACGAAUCCACCGAUUAACUCACACUAAUUACUUUUUAAUUACAUACAGUCUACUAUUUUAGUUGAAGCUGU
Molecule: long non-coding RNA, 386 nt
Organism: Folsomia candida
Lineage: Eukaryota; Metazoa; Arthropoda; Collembola; Entomobryomorpha; Isotomidae
Exons: 3
Source: RefSeq, a predicted model, not a curated record